RNAcentral lists this long non-coding RNA (689 nucleotides) under Mytilus galloprovincialis (Mediterranean mussel). Lineage: Eukaryota; Metazoa; Mollusca; Bivalvia; Mytilida; Mytilidae. The record is from RNAcentral.
AGCAAAUCUGACAGGAGUAGAAUUGUUAAACAGGUGAAGAUCUAUCUGCCCUGAAAUUUUCAGAUGAAUCGGAUAACCUGUUGUUUGGUUGCUGCCCCUGAAUUAGUAAUUUUAAGGAAAUUUUGCGGUUUUUGGUUAUUAUCUUGAAUAUUAUUAUAGAUAGAGAUAAACAGUAAACAGCAAUAAUGUUCAGCAAAGUAAGAUUUACAAAUAAGUCAACAUGACGGAAAUGGUCAGUUGACCCCUUUAGGAGUUAUAGCCCUUUAUAGUCAAUUUUUAACCAUUUUUCGUAAAUCUUAGUAAUCUUUUACAAAAAUCUUCUCCUCUGAAACUACUGGGCCAAAUACUUCCAAACUUUAACUGAAUGUUCCUUAGGGUAUCUAGUUUGUAAAUUGUAUCCGAAGUUAUGAUCUAUCAACAAAAAUGGUCGCCAUUGCUAAAAAUAGAACAUAGGGGUCAAAUGCAGUUUUUGGCUUAUAACUCAAAAACCAAAGCAUUUAGAGCAAAUCUGAUGUUGGGUAAUAUUGUUUAUCAGGUCAAGAUCUAUCUGCCCUGAAAUUUUCAGAUGAAUCAAACAACCUGUUGUUGGGUUGCUGCCCCUGAAUUGAUAAUUUUAAGGAAAUUUUGCUGUUUUUGUUUAUUAUCUUGAAUAUAAUUAUAGAUAGAAAUAAACUGUCAACAGCAAUAAU